This 433-nucleotide ribosomal RNA is filed under the name uncultured bacterium. RNAcentral describes it as "partial 16S ribosomal RNA". It matches the Rfam family "Bacterial small subunit ribosomal RNA", at positions 29 to 507 of the family's 1533-position model. The record is from RNAcentral.
AACGAACGCUGGCGGCAUGCCUAACACAUGCAAGUCGAACGAGACCUUCGGGUCUAGUGGCGCACGGGUGCGUAACGCGUGGGAACCUGCCCUUAGGUUCGGAAUAACUCCCCGAAAGGGGUUCUAAUACCGGAUAAUUUCUUCGGACCAAAGAUUUAUCGCCUUUGGAUGGGCCCGCGUUGGAUUAGCUAGUUGGUAGGGUAAAAGACUACCAAGGCGACGAUCCAUAGCUGGUCUGAGAGGAUGAUCAGCCACACUGGGACUGAGACACGGCCCAGACUCCUACGGGAGGCAGCAGUGGGGAAUAUUGGACAAUGGGCGAAAGCCUGAUCCAGCAAUGCCGCGUGAGUGAUGAAGGCCUUAGGGUUGUAAAGCUCUUUUACCCGGGAUGAUAAUGACAGUACCGGGAGAAUAAGCUCCGGCUAACUCCGUG